Non-coding RNA from Triticum urartu, 1654 nucleotides. The record is from RefSeq and is a predicted model, not a curated record. Lineage: Eukaryota; Viridiplantae; Streptophyta; Magnoliopsida; Poales; Poaceae.
GUUCACACCAUUUGCUUAAAUUCAAAUGAGUUUGAAUUUAAACUUUGCAAUCUUGACCAUUCCUAUUUUUCUCGAAGCAAGCACAUUUUGUGAGUCCGAAAAAAUUAUCCACUUGCUCAAAUUAUUAGCCUAACCCUCUCUUUCUUUUUCUUUUCUCUAAUUGCUUUUCUGUUAAAGAAAAUUAGAGGGAGAGAGAAGAGAGCCAGCCCAUCUAUUUCGGCCCAUCUGCACCUAGGCCAGCCUGCACACAAUCCUAACCCUAGCUCGCACCCAGCGCCCCAUCUCCCUCCCCGAUCUCACCCUCUCCCUCUCAUCCUCCCUCCAGCGCCGCCAGGAGAGGAGCGCCCGUGCCCGAUGCCCUCUACGCCCGAUCCCCUCACCCCUCGUGCCCCUGCCUUCCCCAUGCCCAUUCGCCUCCUCCCUCAUGCACCCUGGACAUCCUCCUGGGCCCCGCGCACCCCUGUGCUCACAAGCAGGGGACCCCGAGGACGCGAGCCACCCUCCUCUACCAACCUGCGUCGCCUCCUCCUUCCUCAGCGCCAAGCCGCCGCCGCGUCAAGUCCCCUGCGCCUCCGCUUGCCGGAGCCCUGUCCCUGACCCCCUGCGUUGCCUGCCGCUGCUGCCUUCUUCCAGCGUCACUGGAGCCGCCCAGGGAACCAAUCCCCAUGGCGUCGUCGUCUCAAGGCCACGCCGCCGGUGGGACCCUGCGCGCCCGUUCCCGCCGCCUCAAGCUCCGUGCUCCUUCCCCGUUGCACCUCCUCAUGCCUCGUUCUGGCGUCAUCCGCGAUGUCCGAUGACCACAGGCGCCAACCUCCGCCUUCUCCCUGGUCAAGUUGAUGCCAGGGCCGACCCCAAGGCCUCCUCUGUCGUCGUCAUCAGCCGCAGCCGCAGGUAUGGCAGACCCGUGCCUACCAUGGCCCUCCUCGUGCCGCCUUGCUGUAGUUCCCAAGCUCGGACCCCCACCUUCGAGCCGAGGCCUUUGUGCUGCUUCUUUUGAGUUCAUGCCAAGUCUUGCAAGACCGGGGCCUCUUCGGCAUGACCGUCGUUGCCUUCCGUUUCAUCUUUGUCAAGUACCCAUGGACGCCAAGUACCACGAUGUCGAUGCCCCUCAAGUUCGGCUACACGGAAACGCCAAGUACCCCUACGCGCGAAGACGCCAAGACCAUUUCGGGAUUCACCAAGUACCGCUACCGAUGAAUCGAACAUCUACGAAAACGUGUACCACUACCAUCACCGAGAUCGCGAGAACCUCUACCGAGGACCUUGGAGCGCGUACGAUGACUGUUGUCGAACACCCGUACCUCUACCGCUUCCCGAACAUGAAUGACUACUUCCACUACGACCGUCCCGAGAACGUCUACUUCCUUUACUUCCCUCGACGAACCCGAACCGUCGCGAACCGCACACUUCGAAGGUAUCCCCAUGAGCUACCGGAACCGAUAUGUUGCCGUGACAUCAUUUUCGGAUUCGUUGCCGUGGCACCCUUUCUUUCCACCAUGGUGACAAAGUGCUUCGUAUCUCUUAUGUCAACAUUUUCAUAAUAAACAAUAGCAUAAAAACUUGCAAAUGUCAUCUGCAUCAUGAUAACGACAUCUAAAAUGUUUAAAUAGUUGUUUGCUUCAAAUUUGCUAUAUAUGACAUGGGGAUUUUCCAG